Molecule: RNase P RNA, 369 nt
Filed under: Bacteroidota bacterium
Lineage: Bacteria; Pseudomonadati; Bacteroidota
Description: Bacteroidetes bacterium (grounwater metagenome) RNase P RNA component class A
Rfam family: Bacterial RNase P class A
About the family: Ribonuclease P (RNase P) is a ubiquitous endoribonuclease, found in archaea, bacteria and eukarya as well as chloroplasts and mitochondria. Its best characterised activity is the generation of mature 5'-ends of tRNAs by cleaving the 5'-leader elements of precursor-tRNAs. Cellular RNase Ps are ribonucleoproteins.
Source: RNAcentral
AUAAGCAGGCUUUCUGUCGCGUUCCUGAAAGAGGGAAUGAGGAAAGUCCGGGCAGCACAGGACAGCAUACUUCUUAACAAGAAGCCACUUCUUUUCUGAGAGGUGAGAGAGAGUGCCACAGAAAAUUACCGCCAUAACUAGUUUAUGGUAAGGGUGAAAACGUGAGGUAAGAGCUCACGACAUAUAUAGGCAACUAUAUAUGGGGGUAAACCUUAUGCGCUGAAAGGUCAAAUACACCGAGGCUUGAGGGUGGUCCGCCCAAUCUCGGGGGGUUGAUCGUUGGAGGCAAGGUGUGAACUUUGUCCAAGAUAAAUGACAGAAACACUGUUUAGGCAGUGACAGAAUCCGGCUUAUAGCCUGCUUUUUUUU